RNAcentral lists this ribosomal RNA (398 nucleotides) under uncultured bacterium. Its description in RNAcentral is "bacterial SSU rRNA". It matches the Rfam family "Bacterial small subunit ribosomal RNA", at positions 30 to 430 of the family's 1533-position model. The record is from RNAcentral.
AUUGAACGCUGGCGGCAUGCCUUACACAUGCAAGUCGAACGGCAGCACGGGAGCAAUCCUGGUGGCGAGUGGCGAACGGGUGAGUAAUAUAUCGGAACGUGCCCAGUCGUGGGGAUAACGUAGCGAAAGCUACGCUAAUACCGCAUACGAUCUAUGGAUGAAAGCGGGGGAUCGCAAGACCUCGCGCGAUUGGAGCGGCCGAUAUCAGAUUAGGUAGUUGGUGAGGUAAAGGCUCGCCAAGCCGACGAUCUGUAGCUGGUCUGAGAGGACGACCAGCCACACUGGGACUGAGACACGGCCCAGACUCCUACGGGAGGCAGCAGUGGGGAAUUUUGGACAAUGGGCGCAAGCCUGAUCCAGCAAUGCCGCGUGCAGGAUGAAGGCCUUCGGUUGUAAAC